CUGCUGUGUUUUGGUGCUUCCCCUGCCCCUGAAGGUGUGAGCAGCAGGGAUGUUCAGCAGGCAAUAAACCCAGCUAAUUAAUGACCUCAGGGGAAGGCAAAUAAAAUCCUUCUGGGUAGAGAAGUUUCAAUUCAAUCAUGUUUUCUACCUUGUUCUUAAACAGUGGGACUUUUUUAUUCUAUUCCCUCUGCUCUUUCAGGGUUUGAUGCAGUUCCCAGUCCCUCAUUCUCUGUGACACUCCCACGGCACAGGAGAGUGCAGGGAGGAGGAACUGCUGUCACACAUCAGCACACCGUGUCUCCAGGAGCUCAGAUCUGCUCCCUACCACCUGCUAAACCCUGACUGCUCAUGCAGUGCCAUGAGUGGAGCUUUACAAAUGUGUGAGAUCGUGUCACAGACCUUGUAUUGGUUGAGUUUCAUUUCAAUGUAGCAUUUAUUUAAUUUUUUACUUAUGCAAAGCAGUCCUUAAAGCACCCCAUCUCUUGUAUCUGCUGUAGUCCUUCCAGAGGAAUAUCACACAUUUUCUAAGGCCUAGAAUAAAGAAAUUAUUUCCAAGAACAUCAGGUGCAUAAGAACAGUAGGAGCUCUUGCUGGAAUGCUGAUCCAUGCUGACUUGAGUCCCCUCUGAAGUGCCCAUCACACCAAGGCUCAGGUGCACACACCCCACGGAUCUACCAGCACACAAUUCCUUCUCGUGUCCUGUUCCAUGGGAGAGUGCUUGAGCCAGUGCUUUGUUCCAGUGUUUCUAGGAAAGCCCUGUGUCAGCUUUGCUGGAGCCAUGCCUAUCCCAGAGGUGCUACAGAACGCCUGUGACAUCAGCUGCCUCCCAGGGCUCUCACAGCCAGAGAAAAGCUCUCCUGGGAGAGAACUUUCUCCCAAAGGGAUGGACCUAAAAUGGACAAGGAGCUGUGCUUCAGCAGCAUACGAGGCUGGGGAGCUGCAAGAGAAAAAAGCAUUGGACUUGCUCAGCAAUUUUGAUCUUGCAAAGUUCUUAAGCAACAUCAAGGGACUACAGAAACCCAGGGGAGAUGGAAGCCUGAUGAGAACCUGGGAGUUUAAACCUGCCUAAUCCCACCCCUGGCACCUGCACUGCCCCUCCUGAAAUGCUGUGUCCUGGUGCAUUUAUCUGAACAAGGCAGGCAGAAUCCUGAUAUCCUGCAUGCUCCCCCUUCACUGCUCUCUGCAUCCUGGCUGAAGCUGUUCCCAGCUUUAAUCAUCCCUCUCCCUCCCUGCAUUUCACUCUGGAGAACGUGCAGGGUAGUUCCGUCCACAAACAAAAUCAUUUCCCCCCAUUUAAAAAUAAAGUGUUAAAAAUAAUUCCCCCUAAUUCUAAA
RNAcentral lists this long non-coding RNA (1334 nucleotides) under Cyanistes caeruleus (blue tit). Its description in RNAcentral is "lncRNA (ENSCCEG00000008458.1)". Lineage: Eukaryota; Metazoa; Chordata; Aves; Passeriformes; Paridae. The record is from RNAcentral.